This 82-nucleotide transfer RNA is filed under the name Oryctolagus cuniculus (rabbit). It matches the Rfam family "tRNA". Rfam says of the family: Transfer RNA (tRNA) molecules are approximately 80 nucleotides in length. Lineage: Eukaryota; Metazoa; Chordata; Mammalia; Lagomorpha; Leporidae. The record is from Rfam by way of RNAcentral.
GGCGCUGUGGCACAGCAGGCUAAAGCCCUGGCCUGAAGCGCCAGCAUCCAUAUGGGUGCUGGUUCUAGUCCUGCCUGCUCCU